AGAGUUUGAUCCUGGCUCAGAACGAACGCUGGCGGCAGGCCUAACACAUGCAAGUCGAGCGUGACCUUCGGGUCUAGCGGCGGACGGGUUAGUAACGCGUGGGAACGUGCCCUUCUCUGCGGAAUAGCCACUGGAAACGGUGAGUAAUACCGCAUACGCCCUUCGGGGGAAAGAUUUAUCGGAGAAGGAUCGGCCCGCGUUAGAUUAGAUAGUUGGUGGGGUAACGGCCUACCAAGUCUACGAUCUAUAGCUGGUUUUAGAGGAUGAUCAGCAACACUGGGACUGAGACACGGCCCAGACUCCUACGGGAGGCAGCAGUGGGGAAUCUUAGACAAUGGGCGCAAGCCUGAUCUAGCCAUGCCGCGUGUGUGAUGAAGGUCUUAGGAUCGUAAAGCACUUUCGCCAGGGAUGAUAAUGACAGUACCUGGUAAAGAAACCCCGGCUAACUCCGUGCCAGCAGCCGCGGUAAUACGGAGGGGGUUAGCGUUGUUCGGAAUUACUGGGCGUAAAGCGCGCGUAGGCGGAUUGGAAAGUUGGGGGUGAAAUCCCGGGGCUCAACCCCGGAACUGCCUCCAAAACUAUCAGUCUAGAGUUCGAGAGGGGUGAGUGGAAUUCCAAGUGUAGAGGUGAAAUUCGUAGAUAUUUGGAGGAACACCAGUGGCGAAGGCGGCUCACUGGCUCGAUACUGACGCUGAGGUGCGAAAGUGUGGGGAGCAAACAGGAUUAGAUACCCUGGUAGUCCACACCGUAAACGAUGAAUGCCAGUCGUCGGGCAGUAUACUGUUCGGUGACACACCUAACGGAUUAAGCAUUCCGCCUGGGGAGUACGGUCGCAAGAUUAAAACUCAAAUGAAUUGACGGGGGCCCGCACAAGCGGUGGAGCAUGUGGUUUAAUUCGAUGCAACGCGAAGAACCUUACCUACUCUUGACAUCCUGCGAAUUUGGUAGAGAUACCUUAGUGCCUUCGGGAACGCAGAGACAGGUGCUGCAUGGCUGUCGUCAGCUCGUGUUGUGAAAUGUUGGGUUAAGUCCCGUAACGAGCGCAACCCUUGUCCUUAUUUGCCAGCGCGUAAUGGCGGGAACUCUAAGGAGACUGCCGGUGACAAACCGGAGGAAGGUGGGGACGACGUCAGGUCAUCAUGGCCCUUACGAGUAGGGCUACACACGUGCUACAAUGGUCGGUACAAAGGGUUGCCAACUCGCGAGAGUGAGCCAAUCCCGAAAAGCCGAUCUCAGUCCGGAUCGGAGUCUGCAACUCGACUCCGUGAAGUCGGAAUCGCUAGUAAUCGUGGAUCAGAAUGCCACGGUGAAUACGUUCCCGGGCCUUGUACACACCGCCCGUCACACCAUGGGAGUGGACUGCACCAGAAGUGGUUAGCCUAACGCAAGAGGGCGAUCACCACGGUGUGGUUCAUGACUGGGGUGAAGUCGUAACAAGGUAACCA
This 1445-nucleotide ribosomal RNA is filed under the name uncultured bacterium. Its description in RNAcentral is "partial small subunit ribosomal RNA". It matches the Rfam family "Bacterial small subunit ribosomal RNA". The record is from RNAcentral.